RNAcentral lists this ribosomal RNA (500 nucleotides) under uncultured bacterium. RNAcentral's name for it is "bacterial SSU rRNA". It matches the Rfam family "Bacterial small subunit ribosomal RNA", at positions 19 to 518 of the family's 1533-position model. The record is from RNAcentral.
AUGGCUCAGGCAAACGCUGGCGGCGUGCCUAACACAUAGCAAGUCGAACGAAGCACUGUGGAAAGAGACUCGGUCAAUUGAAACUUGACUAGUGGCGGACGGGUGAGUAAUGCAUGAGCAACCUGCCCUGGAGAGGGGGACGAACAGCUGGAAACGGCUGCUAAUACCGCAUGAAGUCACCGGAAGGCAUCUUCUGGUGACCAAAGAUUUAUCGCUCUGGGAUGGGCUCAUGUCUGAUUAGUUAGUUGGCGGGGCAACGGCCCACCAAGACUUCGAUCAGUAGCCGGACUGAGAGGUUGAACGGCCACAUUGGGACUGAGAUACGGCCCAGACUCCUACGGGAGGCAGCAGUGGGGAAUAUUGGGCAAUGGGCGCAAGCCUGACCCAGCAACGCCGCGUGAAGGAAGAAGGCUUUCGGGUUGUAAACUUCUUUUAUCAGGGACGAAGAAAGUGACGGUACCUGAUGAAUAAGCCACGGCUAACUACGUGCCAGCCGCAGC